Molecule: long non-coding RNA, 478 nt
Organism: Gambusia affinis (western mosquitofish)
Lineage: Eukaryota; Metazoa; Chordata; Actinopteri; Cyprinodontiformes; Poeciliidae
Exons: 3
Source: RefSeq, a predicted model, not a curated record
UCUCGCCUGGAACGUAGCUGGAGAUAAACACCAGCAACCCUCCCGACCCCAUUAGGGACAAAGGGCGAAUAGAAAAUGGAUGGAUGGAGAAUGAGAUUUUUAAAAGACUCAUAUGUUUAGGUCCACCUGGUGGUGCAAUGAGGAACUGCAUGUAAGGGGUCCUUCAGGCGCUCUCACGGCUUCCCCACCAGAACUCUGAGGAACGCUGGUGGAGCUGUGGGGCCACUUGCAGGCAGUCAGAAGUCACAUAGUGAAGAUUUAUUCUGUGUCGUACCAGUUUGACUGAAGGAUAUUUACUUCCUCUCUUCUAUCUGUGAACUUCACAUUUUCCUUUCCUGUAACUUGAUAUCAACAUUUAUUACUUACUGAUGAGAGACUGAGGACAGACGGAGGUGUGCAGGUGGAGCAUUCAUAGUAACCUGAUCCAUGUCUGCAUUCAACAUGGUCUCCAUCAGGGUCAAAGGUCAACAAGCUGAUA